AGGAGAUACUUAUAUAUGCCAUCGGGUCCCUCUAAUUUGUUCUACUAAUACGAUUAGCGCUUCUACCCUGUCCUUAAUUUCACCAAUUCGUCGGUGUGCGUAUAAUUGAUUGCUGUGAACGGCUCACACUUGAAUCCCACUGUAAGAGCAAGGGCAGAAGCACAAAGGUCCCAAAGGGGUUAAAAAAGAGAGUCUGAGAGAGUAUCUUUUGGAAAUGAAAGUAGUGCAGUGGCUUCUACCGGUGGCUGUGGCCUGGUGGUUGCGACAAGGCGGUGCUCCCACCGUGGCCGGAGAGUGUGCAACCAAGUGUGGGGACGUGGACGUACCUUAUCCGUUCGGGCUCGAACUCAAGUGUGCAAGGUCCCAAGAAUUUUUCCUCAAUUGCACCACUGAAGGGAACCAUACACAACUACUUCUUGCCUCCGGGGGGAAUUGUCCGAUACGCAAUAUC
This 451-nucleotide long non-coding RNA is filed under the name Eucalyptus grandis. Its description in RNAcentral is "long non-coding RNA (EGRA_LNC004971)". Lineage: Eukaryota; Viridiplantae; Streptophyta; Magnoliopsida; Myrtales; Myrtaceae. The record is from RNAcentral.